This 520-nucleotide unclassified non-coding RNA is filed under the name uncultured Acaulospora. RNAcentral describes it as "SSU rRNA". It matches the Rfam family "Eukaryotic small subunit ribosomal RNA", at positions 569 to 1091 of the family's 1831-position model. Lineage: Eukaryota; Fungi; Glomeromycota; Glomeromycetes; Diversisporales; Acaulosporaceae. The record is from RNAcentral.
AGCAGCCGCGGUAAUUCCAGCUCCAAUAGCGUAUAUUAAAGUUGUUGCAGUUAAAAAGCUCGUAGUUGAAUUUCGGGGUCUGUCCGUCGGUCGGGCUUCACGGUCCGUACUGGUGUGAUGGGUUCCUACCUUCUGAAUAACCGGCAUGCCAUUCAGUUGGUGCGCCGGGGGAGCAGAGCUAUUACCUUGAAAAAUUAGAGUGCUUAAAGCAGGCUAGUGCUUGAAUAGAUUAGCAUGGAAUAAUAAAAUAGGACGGCAUGGUUCUAUUUUGUGGUUUCUAGGAUCACCGUAAUGAUUAAUAGGGAUAGUUGGGGGCAUUAGUAUUCAAUUGUCAGAGGUGAAAUUCUUGGAUUUAUUGAAGACUAACUUCUGCGAAAGCAUUUGCCAAGGAUGUUUUCAUUAAUCAAGAACGAAAGUUAGGGGAUCGAAGACGAUCAGAUACCGUCGUAGUCUUAACCAUAAACUAUGCCGACUAGGGAUCGGACGAUGUUAAUUUUUAAUGACUCGUUCGGCGCCUUAC